Molecule: ribosomal RNA, 498 nt
Filed under: uncultured bacterium
Lineage: Bacteria
Description: partial 16S ribosomal RNA
Rfam family: Bacterial small subunit ribosomal RNA
Source: RNAcentral
GACGAACGCUGGCGGCGUGCCUAAUACAUGCAAGUCGAACGAGAGCGACCGGUGCUUGCACUGGUCAAUCUAGUGGCGAACGGGUGAGUAACACGUGGGUAACCUGCCCAUCAGAGGGGGAUAACAUUCGGAAACGGAUGCUAAAACCGCAUAGGUCUUCGAACCGCAUGGUUUGAAGAGGAAAAGAGGCGCAAGCUUCUGCUGAUGGAUGGACCCGCGGUGCAUUAGCUAGUUAGUGAGGUAACGGCUCACCAAGGCCGUGAUGCAUAGCCGACCUGAGAGGGUGAUCGGCCACAUUGGGACUGAGACACGGCCCAAACUCCUACGGGAGGCAGCAGUAGGGAAUCUUCCGCAAUGGACGCAAGUCUGACGGAGCAACGCCGCGUGAGUGAAGAAGGUUUUCGGAUCGUAAAACUCUGUUGUUAGAGAAGAACAAGUGCUAGAGUAACUGUUAGCGCCUUGACGGUAGCUAACCAGAAAGCCACGGCUAACUACGUG